ACAGCAGCCGCGGGAAUACAGAGGGUGCGAGCGUUAAUCGGAUUUACUGGGCGUAAAGCGUGCGUAGGCGGCUUCUUAAGUCGGAUGUGAAAUCCCUGAGCUUAACUUAGGAAUUGCAUUCGAUACUGGGAAGCUAGAGUAUGGGAGAGGAUGGUAGAAUUCCAGGUGUAGCGGUGAAAUGCGUAGAGAUCUGGAGGAAUACCGAUGGCGAAGGCAGCCAUCUGGCCUAAUACUGACGCUGAGGUACGAAAGCAUGGGGAGCAAACAGGAUUAGAUACCCGCGUAGUCCCUGUCUCUUAUACACA
Molecule: ribosomal RNA, 305 nt
Filed under: uncultured bacterium
Lineage: Bacteria
Description: partial 16S ribosomal RNA
Rfam family: Bacterial small subunit ribosomal RNA
Source: RNAcentral